Molecule: transfer RNA, 75 nt
Filed under: Lacticaseibacillus casei
Lineage: Bacteria; Bacillati; Bacillota; Bacilli; Lactobacillales; Lactobacillaceae
Also listed under: 2 other names
Description: Lactobacillus casei tRNA-Gly
Rfam family: tRNA
About the family: Transfer RNA (tRNA) molecules are approximately 80 nucleotides in length. Their secondary structure includes four short double-helical elements and three loops (D, anti-codon, and T loops). Further hydrogen bonds mediate the characteristic L-shaped molecular structure. tRNAs have two regions of fundamental functional importance: the anti-codon, which is responsible for specific mRNA codon recognition, and the 3' end, to which the tRNAs corresponding amino acid is attached (by aminoacyl-tRNA synthetases). tRNAs cope with the degeneracy of the genetic code in two manners: having more than one tRNA (with a specific anti-codon) for a particular amino acid; and 'wobble' base-pairing, i.e. permitting non-standard base-pairing at the 3rd anti-codon position.
Source: RNAcentral
GGAAGUAGUUCAGUGGUAGAACAUCACCUUGCCAUGGUGGGGGUCGCGGGUUCGAAUCCCGUCUUCCGCUUUCCA